This 240-nucleotide unclassified non-coding RNA is filed under the name plant metagenome. RNAcentral describes it as "partial contains small subunit ribosomal RNA and internal transcribed spacer 1". The stretch from base 1 to 46 matches the Rfam family "Eukaryotic small subunit ribosomal RNA", at positions 1786 to 1831 of the family's 1831-position model. The record is from RNAcentral.
AAGUCGUAACAAGGUUUCCGUAGGUGAACCUGCGGAAGGAUCAUUACUGAGUUAGGGUCUUCAUGGCCCGACCUCCAACCCUUGUGUUAAACAUACCACGUUGCUUCGGCAGGGCCCGUCCUCUCGAGGACCGCCGGGGAGGUUUCCACCUCUCUGGCCCGUUGCCCGCCGGUGGCCAAACCACAAAACUCUUGAUAAACACUGUCGUCUGAGUUACAUUUAUUUAAUUAAAAAAUAAAA